CCUACGGGAGGCAGCAGUGAGGAAUAUUGGUCAAUGGACGCAAGUCUGAACCAGCCAUGCCGCGUGCAGGAAGACGGCUCUAUGAGUUGUAAACUGCUUUUGUACGAGGGUAAACGCAGAUACGCGUAUCUGUCUGAAAGUAUCGUACGAAUAAGGAUCGGCUAACUCCGUGCCAGCAGCCGCGGUAAUACGGAGGAUUCAAGCGUUAUCCGGAUUUAUUGGGUUUAAAGGGUGCGUAGGCGGUCGGAUAAGUUAGAGGUGAAAUCCCGAGGCUCAACUUCGGAAUUGCCUCUGAUACUGGUCGGCUAGAGAGUGAGAAGUAUGCGGAAUGCGUGGUGUAGCGGUGAAAUGCAUAGAUAGCACGCAGAACUCAGAUUGCGAAGGCAGCAUACCGGCGCUCAACUGACGCUCAUGCACGAAAGUGUGGGUAUCGAACAGGAUUAGAUACCCCAGUAGUC
Molecule: ribosomal RNA, 458 nt
Filed under: uncultured bacterium
Lineage: Bacteria
Description: partial 16S ribosomal RNA
Rfam family: Bacterial small subunit ribosomal RNA
Source: RNAcentral